This 1741-nucleotide long non-coding RNA is filed under the name Eucalyptus grandis. RNAcentral describes it as "long non-coding RNA (EGRA_LNC006177)". Lineage: Eukaryota; Viridiplantae; Streptophyta; Magnoliopsida; Myrtales; Myrtaceae. The record is from RNAcentral.
CCAAUUCCAAAUACAAAGCAAUAGCUACCUCUGCCAUCAAAGCUGCCCCAUUAGGACGAAGGCAAGACCAAUAGCUACCUCGUGAUUCAGUAACUUUUAUAAAAUAUGUAAAAUAUUUGAAGGAUAAAUAAUUAAGAAAUACUAAUUUAAAGUCAAUGUUAGUUCACUGAUCGGUAAAGCAAUGUAAAAACUAGGUUCAAAAGCAAGCAAUUGAAAAUGGAAUUGUUCACUAAUAAGGUGUUCACCUAGAUGGUAAAAGAGUAUGUUCCUUUUCCGGUGGUCUUGAGAUUAUUCUACAAGUAAAAUCCUCCAUGCACCUUUUCGACAGAAGGGAGCGUGUCCUUAAAAAUGGAUUACUCGAGGUACGAGAAAGUUGACCGAGCACUACCCGAUCUGUUAUAUUAAAUAAGAAAGUUGAAUUUCUUAGGUUACAUGAAUAAAUUUCAUUUAUAUCAUCUUACACAUGAAAAGGAUAAUGGGUGGAAUGUUCCUUUCAAAGUAUUAGUUUUUUACCGGUAGUUGAAGUACCAAUAGUUAAAUACUAAUAACAUAUUAUACAUAUAUGUGAGUCAAAAUAUCAAAAGAUGACUAAAAAUCUUAUUAGAAAAGAUUUAGAAAGUCUAAAAAGUUUGGCUUAUUACUUCCAACUUUUGGUAAUUUGGGUGCAACAACGUUCACAAACAUAUACCUUUGAAGAAUUUUUCCUGAAGGGUCAAAUCCAGAAUCAAACUUUUAAUUUUAGCUUUAACAUAGACAAAAAGAUUUUUUUUUUAAAUAGCAAUAUUUUAUUCUCUAGUAUUGAUCAACGAUCUUUUGAAAACGAAAAUAGUCAUAAAACAUCUCAAAAAAAAUUAAUACCAAAAAGAGAUGGAUUCCUGAUAUUCCUCAAUUGAUAAAUCAUCUAGAAAAAUCACUUACCACUUCUAAUAUAAAAAGGAAAAAGAAAAGAAAAUACUAUGAAAAUAAUUUACCAAUUAAUUCUCAACCAAAAGGAGAGAAAAAGGACAAGAGCACAAAAAGUUAUGGAUAAGCCACAUCAACCUUUAAUAUUCACAACGCCUUCACUUUAAUAUGUGUAUAUAUAUGUAGAAUUUGUUGGAAUAGAGUAAUAUAACAAGUCAAUAAUAAUUCCCAUUCAUUAAGUUGAGGGGUGAUAAAUCAUUUUUUCUAUAGUCAUAUGAUGGUCCAAACAGAAAGCCCAUGGGCCAAGGAUAUCAAUGGUCCUUACCCAAACAACGGCCCAUUAAGUCAAAUAUCCUAUCUUAUCUAAUUUUAUCAUAAUUAGAAAUUCAGACAGCUAAACAUAACAUUUGUUAAAAUGCAUUGAGCAUCUAGACAAAUGGAAACUAAGACUAAAUGGUCUAUGACUAUGAUUGAGUGGAACUGCAGCUCACAUUGCUUUAUCUUUGUUUGCGUUAUGCUGAUAAGAUCCACAGGUAUUUCUUUCUCUAGUGAAAUUUGCAUGUGAAGGGAAUGAAGGGUUUUACAGAUUCAGCUGUCAAAAAAAGAAAAAAAAUUAGAUUGGAAUGGAGCGUGGGAGCUCAUGGGGAUUCCUUGAUUUCUAAACUGAGUGCCAGGUUUCAACUGGUAUCUCGAUUUGAGCUUGUGAGCAGGAGAGUUUGCCCCUCGAUCAUCUUCUUGGGGCUAUCCGAUAUCCUGUUCUUGGGAUGGAUGAAUUAAAUAGUAGGGGUGUUGCAGACUUAUUUCGACGGAUUCUCGGGGCUUGUUUCAUCUGACUUUC